UUAAGCCACUGAACAGACAAUCAUAUGUAAGGUGAACGUACAACGUUAUUUAAAUGUAAUUUAAGCUCCAUUUUUUUUAGUACAUUCAUAAAAUAAACUCACUAUUAAUUUUUUCUUAUUGUUAAAAGAGUUGUCCUUUAUUUCUAAAUAAGGUUUCUUCCAAAUAGAGAUAAAACAAAAAGUCAAUCUUCAUUCAAAAGUGUGGUCUUCCAGUAAAAAACAGGUUAUGGAAUUUCUUCAGAACAAAGAAUAUUUCUUUCCUUCUUGAUCUUAUUCUGGUGGUUCAGAGUCCGCCUCCUGAAGCAAAGCAUUUUGGUACAGAAUUAUGCCACACCAUAACUUUGGGUGCGAAGCGGGGCUAAUAAGCCCGUGCUGUGGCAUGGGGGAGAUAUCACCCUGUCACUUCCUGCUCUCCCACCAGCUGAAGGCACGUACCAGUGGGCCCACCUCGUGGGUGGUCCUCCCCCGCCAGAUCCUUUCGUGGAUCCUCUCAGCUACAGACCCAUCAGGACUAUGUUUUUUGAUCUGACGACAGAUCGUUUUCUUCAAGUCUCUUUUCAGAGCUCAGUCAGCUGUUGUGGACUUUUCCUCUUCUUUGUUUAACUGUGGUUAUCAAAAAGACUUUUUGAGCACAGCACUGACCUCUUUUGGAUCAAGUUCAAUGUGAAUCGAUUCCCA
This is a long non-coding RNA of Thalassophryne amazonica, 678 nucleotides long. RefSeq lists it as uncharacterized. The transcript has 3 exons. Lineage: Eukaryota; Metazoa; Chordata; Actinopteri; Batrachoidiformes; Batrachoididae. The record is from RefSeq and is a predicted model, not a curated record.